RNAcentral lists this ribosomal RNA (253 nucleotides) under uncultured bacterium. RNAcentral's name for it is "partial 16S ribosomal RNA". It matches the Rfam family "Bacterial small subunit ribosomal RNA", at positions 524 to 776 of the family's 1533-position model. The record is from RNAcentral.
UACGUAGGGUGCAAGCGUUGUCCGGAAUUAUUGGGCGUAAAGAGCUCGUAGGCGGUUUGUCGCGUCUGCUGUGAAAACUCGGGGCUUAACUCCGGGCCUGCAGUGGGUACGGGCAGACUAGAGUGCGGUAGGGGAGACUGGAAUUCCUGGUGUAGCGGUGAAAUGCGCAGAUAUCAGGAGGAACACCGGUGGCGAAGGCGGGUCUCUGGGCCGUAACUGACGCUGAGGCACGAAAGCGUGGGUAGCAAACAGG